CAGUCGCCACGGGAAUACGGAGGGGGCUAGCGUUGUUCGGAAUUACUGGGCGUAAAGCGCACGUAGGCGGCUUGGUAAGUUAGAGGUGAAAGCCCGGAGCUCAACUCCGGAAUUGCCUUUAAGACUGCCGAGCUAGUAGGUGAGAGAGGUAAGCGGAAUUCCGAGUGUAGAGGUGAAAUUCGUAGAUAUUCGGAAGAACACCAGUGGCGAAGGCGGCUUACUGGCUCAUUCUAGACGCUGAGGUGCGAAAGCGUGGGGAGCAAACAGGAUUAGAUACCCGCGUAGUCCCUGUCUCUUAUAC
Molecule: ribosomal RNA, 301 nt
Filed under: uncultured bacterium
Lineage: Bacteria
Description: partial 16S ribosomal RNA
Rfam family: Bacterial small subunit ribosomal RNA
Source: RNAcentral